GGGGACGAAAGGUUUCGACCGGGCAAGUUGAGGUGAGAGUUGCGCACCGAGGUUGUCAGGAGGCCUCGUAAAACACCUGGCAAAACCAUUAAAUGCUGAACCUGUUCAGCUAAGAAUGGCCGCCUAAGCGCGGUCACGUUCUUCUGGUCUUGCCUGCGAGGCUGGAAAGAACGACCACAGCAGGCUGGCCUUGUUCGUGUGCUGAGCGCGGACGAGGUGAGAUCCUAAGCUGAGCUGGCGCUUGAUCGAGCCUGUCGGCCGGCGCGGUCAAGGGCGAGACCCAUAAACCGACUACGUGCGUAGAUACUCUCGCUGAUCGGCCUCGGGACGCGGGUUCGAUUCCCGCCGUCUCCACCA
Molecule: transfer-messenger RNA, 357 nt
Filed under: Planctomycetota bacterium
Lineage: Bacteria; Pseudomonadati; Planctomycetota
Description: Planctomycetes bacterium (freshwater metagenome) transfer-messenger RNA
Rfam family: transfer-messenger RNA
About the family: Bacterial tmRNA, also known as 10Sa RNA or SsrA, is named for its dual tRNA and mRNA-like properties. Its role is to liberate the mRNA from a stalled ribosome.
Source: RNAcentral